AUGGAGAGUUUGAUCCUGGCUCAGGACGAACGCUGGCGGCGUGCUUAACACAUGCAAGUCGAGCGAGGCUCCACUCUUCGGAGCGGAUGCCCUAGCGGCGAACGGGUGAGUAACACGUGGGCAACCUGCCCCUAGCACUGGGAUAACCCCGGGAAACCGGAGCUAAUACCAGAUA
RNAcentral lists this ribosomal RNA (175 nucleotides) under Geodermatophilaceae bacterium. Its description in RNAcentral is "partial 16S ribosomal RNA". It matches the Rfam family "Bacterial small subunit ribosomal RNA", at positions 1 to 175 of the family's 1533-position model. The record is from RNAcentral. Lineage: Bacteria; Bacillati; Actinomycetota; Actinomycetes; Geodermatophilales; Geodermatophilaceae.